GAUGAACGCUGGCGGCGUGCUUAACACAUGCAAGUCGAACGGGAAUUAUUUUAUUGAAACUUCGGUCGAUUUAAUUUAAUUCUAGUGGCGGACGGGUGAGUAACGCGUGGGUAACCUGCCUUAUACAGGGGGAUAACAGUCAGAAAUGGCUGCUAAUACCGCAUAAGCGCACAGAGCUGCAUGGCUCAGUGUGAAAAACUCCGGUGGUAUAAGAUGGACCCGCGUUGGAUUAGCUUGUUGGCAGGGUAACGGCCUACCAAGGCGACGAUCCAUAGCCGGCCUGAGAGGGUGAACGGCCACAUUGGGACUGAGACACGGCCCAGACUCCUACGGGAGGAAGCAGUGGGGAAUAUUGCACAAUGGGGGAAACCCUGAUGCAGCGACGCCGCGUGAAGGAAGAAGUAUCUCGGUAUGUAAACUUCUAUCAGCAGGGAAGAUAGUGACGGUACCUGACUAAGAAGCCCCGGCUAACUACGUG
Molecule: ribosomal RNA, 478 nt
Filed under: uncultured bacterium
Lineage: Bacteria
Description: partial 16S ribosomal RNA
Rfam family: Bacterial small subunit ribosomal RNA
Source: RNAcentral